AGGACGAACGCUGGCGGCGUGCUUAACACAUGCAAGUCGAACGGAAAGGCCCUUCGGGGUACUCGAGUGGCGAACGGGUGAGUAACACGUGGGUGAUCUGCCCUGCACUUUGGGAUAAGCCUGGGAAACUGGGUCUAAUACCGAAUAGGACCACGGGAUGCAUGUCCUGUGGUGGAAAGCUUUUGCGGUGUGGGAUGGGCCCGCGGCCUAUCAGCUUGUUGGUGGGGUGAUGGCCUACCAAGGCGACGACGGGUAGCCGGCCUGAGAGGGUGUCCGGCCACACUGGGACUGAGAUACGGCCCAGACUCCUACGGGAGGCAGCAGUGGGGAAUAUUGCACAAUGGGCGCAAGCCUGAUGCAGCGACGCCGCGUGGGGGAUGACGGCCUUCGGUUGUAACCCGUUCAGUAGGGACGAAGCGCAAGUGACGGUACCUACAGAAGAAGCACCGGCCAACUACGCGCCAGCAGCCGC
This 472-nucleotide ribosomal RNA is filed under the name uncultured bacterium. Its description in RNAcentral is "SSU rRNA". It matches the Rfam family "Bacterial small subunit ribosomal RNA", at positions 26 to 518 of the family's 1533-position model. The record is from RNAcentral.